RNAcentral lists this ribosomal RNA (406 nucleotides) under uncultured bacterium. Its description in RNAcentral is "partial 16S ribosomal RNA". It matches the Rfam family "Bacterial small subunit ribosomal RNA", at positions 30 to 526 of the family's 1533-position model. The record is from RNAcentral.
AUUGAACGCUGGCGGCAGGCCUAAAACAUGCACGUCGAACGAGUGGCGGACGGGUGAGUACUGUCUGGGAAACUGACCGAUGGAGGGGGAUAACUAAUGGAAAAGGUAGCUAAUACCGCAUACCCUCGGAUGCGCCGAGAUGGGCUUAGCUAGUAGGUGGGGUAACGGCUCACCUAGGCGACGAUCCCUAGCUGGUCUGAGAGGAUGAACAGCCACACUGGAACUGAGACACGGUCCAGACGCCUACGGGAGGCAGCAGUGGGGAAUAUUGCACAAUGGGCGCAAGCCUGAUGCAGCCAUGCCGCGUGUAUGAAGAAGGCCUUCGGGUUGUAAAGUACUUUCAGCGAGGAGGCGUUACUCGCAGAAGAAGCAUCGGCUAACUCCGUGCCAGCCGCCGCGGUAAUAC